Long non-coding RNA from Stegodyphus dumicola, 2835 nucleotides. RefSeq lists it as uncharacterized. The record is from RefSeq and is a predicted model, not a curated record. NCBI's taxonomy places the organism in Eukaryota, Metazoa, Arthropoda, Arachnida, Araneae, Eresidae.
CGCGUCGGCGAGGAGUCGAACAAAGAAAUGAGCUAGCCCUUCUAUUUAUCCCUGAAAAAAUAUAUAUUUACCACAUAAUUACGAAAUUUUGACCUCCGCGAGUCACUGAAUGUUUUGGCAAGCAAGAGGGGUGUGUCACUGCUUCAAGGGAGCGUAUACCAAGAAAACCAGUUUGCGCCUAUCCUCAUUUCUUUUUCGUACCGUAUGUUUGUAAUUUCAGCGGAAGAUAUCUAUGUUGCAUAAACGUGUGUAAAAGAUUUUAAAAUAAUUUAUUUGGUAAUAAUAUGUUGAAGAAUGGUUUAUACUUGUGUUCCUGAUUUAGAAAAAUUAAUCUCAAUACUGAAAAUGUCCACUUCUUUCCGUCUCCGAAUCGAAUUUGAUGUGCAAAAAAGUGGUUAUAUGCCGUUUAUUAGCAGAAUUUCAGCCCAUCAAAACAUUCUAAUGUAUGUACGAUCAUUUUUUUUUAACUAUAUGAUUUUCUUAAUUGAAAAAGAUAUUCUUAUUAGUGCAUUUGAAAGUAUGUAUUUCUUGGUUUUCCAAAAAAAUAGGCCUUAUUGUUCCACGUUUAAUUUUUAUUAAACUUCUAUAAUGUUAUUUUGAAUUCAAUAAAAUCUGUAAUUAAUAAUGCAGACGGAAGAAUUAACAAAUAGUACAGCAAUUUGUCAUUAAUUCGAAAGCAUUUUAUUAAAUCUGUAAUGAAAUGUAUUGGGAUAUUAAUUAAAACAUUUUUAAGUAAAUAAUAGGUAAGCGAGAACUUAUAAACCUUUAUAUAAUAUCAGGAUAAUAAGUAUACAUAUUAGAAUUCAGCUAGCUAGAAUUUUUCUGGUUCCUAAAUUUAUUUCUGAAUGGAAACCUUAUUGCAUUGCAAGCAAACCUUCAUUUUGCAUUGACACUACUUGUAAGAUUUUUCUUAUAAAUCUGCAGUGGUAGUCGACGUUGAAAACUUUUUUUUUUUUUAAGUUUGUGAAAAACAUUUUAUCAAAUCAGACGCUGAACCGAGUAAUCGAACAUUUUGAUGAGAAAGGAGGAACUUCUAUAAAAUUUAAUUUGGUUAGGUCAAGGCUUCGAAAGGAUGCUGUACCCUCACACUGCCCUGGCUGCCCAAAUUGCGUAUAGUAGAGUUUCAUAGAAACAACUGAUUGAGCUCACACUUGCUGCAAGUCUAAUCAGCAAUGAAAUUUUGACAAGAAAAUAUGUUUUUACAUGUUUUCCUUUUCAUGCAUAAAAUCUGAAAAUGUUCCUGAUGUUUGAGCAGUUAUUUUCAGAGAAGAUGAAAUUCUUUUUCUUAUUAUUGAUAUGUCCGUGGUCCAAUGCUAUAUUAUUGCUUAUUGACAUUCUGACGGAACUCACUUAUGCUUCCAACAUUCGAAAAGUGAUUCAACGACAAUAGGGAUAGGACUCUUCAGUCCGGGAGCCCUUCGAAAGGAACCAAAGGUUCACGGAUGAUACCAAUCAUUGAAGUGUCAGUAGUGGUGACAGAAAUUUUAAUGUCUAAUAUUUUUAUUGGUUAUGAGGAAAAUUAUUGAAUGUUGUAUAGUUAUUAAAUCCACCACAGAUACCAACAUUGACUAUUGGAGGUACUGGAUUCGCCAGGAUGCGCAAGUGGAUGACCAGUCGCCAAUGACAGAGGUUUUAAAUAAAAGAAGAGAAAAGAGAUAAUGGCAGAAGGAGUGGAAAUGGCUGGAGAGGGCCAUGGAAGGGAUCUCAAUCACCGGGGAGAAGGGAGCGAGAAAAAAACAGAUAAAGCUGGGACCUCUGGAGUGACCUCCAAACUGGUGAAGAGCUUUUCAAGCAGUGAAGAUUCUCAUAAGAGAGAAUGCAUUGCUGAUGACAACUCGGAAAGGGCCCUAAAGAAAUGACGGCUUUAUAGUCAAGCUGUGAGGAAGGCAAUUACUCUGUGGGUCGUUUGCAAGGAUGACUCCAGAGACAUAAUGUCGUCGGAUUCGGAUUUCAUCACUUCUGUGAUUGAUGACCAAAUUAUCUACGGCUCCAUUACUACCUGUAGGGUCCACAAGACAGUCUGGUGCUGGGAGUGGAACAUGAGCUCAUGGAUUACCUGGAGGUCCAGAAUUUCAAACUUUUUUGUGGUGCCCGUUUCUCUGUACAGCUGAAGGAACCAAGACCACAGGGAAAAUCAAUUCUUCUGCCCAAGGAUCCUCUGAGGAAACAGUUGAUGGAAGGAGCGGAGACCGAAAAGGAGUCAGAACCAGAGCCUUCUUUGGAGGCUCUGGGGAAGAUCUCUGAGUAGGUUUCCUCUGUCACGACUUCAAGAAUAACACCAGAAUCUGAAACCGGAAAUCUUUACAUGAGGCGAAAUCGGCAAACCUCGAUGCUGUCUUGUACGAGUAGUUCCAGCAGUGGCGGAGUGAUGGGGUACCUAUUUCAGGAUUACUCCUGAGAGAAAAGGAGAAGCAAAUUCAUGCUGAUUUAAAAAUAGAGGAGACUAAUGCUAGUCUUCCUGGAGCUAAAUGUGGGAUUAUCCUCAAGGCUGAUGCUAAACUUUCUGCCACUAGGUACAGCAGCUACCUUUUCUGAAUUUUGCUGUGCUUUAUGGUCACACCAAUUACAUUGAUGCUAAUGCUGUACUUGCAUUCAGACAUAUGAAUUGGAAUUAUGUUUGAUGUUUCAUAGACUGAAGAAUGGUGACUCAUCAAACACAGGAAAAAACUCAAAUUCCAGCUUGCUACAGCAGAGCACACCUCAAAAGAACAUCCAUGCAUCUGUAACUCUAGUAACUACCAACUGAAGCUUCAAGUGAAUGCUAAGAAAACUAACUAAUUGCAUUUGCAUGCUGCUCAGCUCAGUGAAUAAAAACACAAUUUAUAUAAUAUAAAA